AUUGAACGCUGGCGGCAGGCCUAACACAUGCAAGUCGAGCGGAUGAAGGGAGCUUGCUCCUGGAUUCAGCGGCGGACGGGUGAGUAAUGCCUAGGAAUCUGCCUGGUAGUGGGGGAUAACGUCCGGAAUCGGGCGCUAAUACCGCAUACGUCCUGAGGGAGAAAGUGGGGGAUCUUCGGACCUCACGCUAUCAGAUGAGCCUAGGUCGGAUUAGCUAGUUGGUGGGGUAAAGGCCUACCAAGGCGACGAUCCGUAACUGGUCUGAGAGGAUGAUCAGUCACACUGGAACUGAGACACGGUCCAGACUCCUACGGGAGGCAGCAGUGGGGAAUAUUGGACAAUGGGCGAAAGCCUGAUCCAGCCAUGCCGCGUGUGUGAAGAAGGUCUUCGGAUUGUAAAGCACUUUAAGUUGGGAGGAAGGGCAGUAAGUUAAUACCUUGCUCUUUUGACGUUACCAACAGAAUAAGCACCGGCUAACUUCGUG
RNAcentral lists this ribosomal RNA (484 nucleotides) under uncultured bacterium. RNAcentral describes it as "partial 16S ribosomal RNA". It matches the Rfam family "Bacterial small subunit ribosomal RNA", at positions 30 to 507 of the family's 1533-position model. The record is from RNAcentral.